RNAcentral lists this ribosomal RNA (481 nucleotides) under uncultured bacterium. RNAcentral describes it as "partial 16S ribosomal RNA". It matches the Rfam family "Bacterial small subunit ribosomal RNA", at positions 28 to 523 of the family's 1533-position model. The record is from RNAcentral.
GACGAACGCUGGCGGCGUGCUUAACACAUGCAAGUCGCGCGGAAAGGCCACUUCGGUGGUACUCGAGCGGCGAACGGGCGAGGAACACGUGAGUAAUCUGCCCCUGGCUUUGGGAUAGCCACCGGAAACGGUGAUUAAUACCGGAUACGAUCAGUUCUCGCAUGGGAUGGUGGUGGAAAGGUUUUUCGGCCAGGGAUGUGCUCGCGGCCUAUCAGCUGGAUGGUGAGGUGAUGGCUCACCAUGGCUUCGACGGGUAGCCGGCCUGAGAGGGUGACCGGUCACACUGGGACUGAGACACGGCCCAGACUCCUACGGGAGGCAGCAGUGGGGAAUAUUGGACAAUGGGCGGAAGCCUGAUCCAGCAACGCCGCGUGAGGGAUGACGGCCUUCGGGUUGUAAACCUCUUGCAGCAGGGACGAAGCGCAAGUGACGGUACCUGCAGAAGAAGCACCGGCCAACUACGUGCCAGCAGCCGCGGUAA